UACGUAGGGUGCGAGCGUUUAAUCGGAAUUACUGGGCGUAAAGCGUGCGCAGGCGGUUAUGUAAGACAGGUGUGAAAUCCCCCGGGCUUAACCUGGGAACUGCAUUUGUGGACUGCAUAGCUAGAGUACGGUAGAGGGGGAUGGAAUUCCGCGUGUAGCAGUGAAAUGCGUAGAUAUGCGGAGGAACACCGAUGGCGAAGGCAAUCCCUGGACCUGUACUGACGCUCAUGCACGAAAGCGUGGGGAGCAAACAGG
This 255-nucleotide ribosomal RNA is filed under the name uncultured bacterium. RNAcentral's name for it is "partial 16S ribosomal RNA". It matches the Rfam family "Bacterial small subunit ribosomal RNA", at positions 524 to 776 of the family's 1533-position model. The record is from RNAcentral.